Molecule: ribosomal RNA, 491 nt
Filed under: uncultured bacterium
Lineage: Bacteria
Description: partial 16S ribosomal RNA
Rfam family: Bacterial small subunit ribosomal RNA
Source: RNAcentral
AGUGAACGCUGGCGGUAGGCCUAACACAUGCAAGUCGAACGGCAGCACAGUAAGAGCUUGCUCUUACGGGUGGCGAGUGGCGGAUGGGUGAGGAAUACAUCGGCAUCUACUUUUUCGUGGGUGAUAACGUAGGGAAACUUACGCUAAUAGCGCAUAUGACCUACGGGUGAAAUCAAGGGAUCUUCGGACCUUGGGCGAUUGAAUGAGCCGAUGUCGGAUUGGCUAGUUGGCGGGGUAAAGGCCCACCAAGGCGACGAUCCGUAGCUGGCCUGAGAGGAUGACCAGCACCACUGGAACUGAGACACGGCCCGGACCCCUACGGGAGCCAGCAGUGGGGAAUAUUGGACAAUGGGCGCAACCCUGAGCCAGCCAGCCCGCGUGGGUGAAGAAGGCCUUCGGGUGGUAAAGCCCUUUUGUUGGGAAAGAAAAGCGGCAGAUUAAUUCCCCGCUGUUCGAACGUAACCAAAAGAAAAAGCACCGCCUAACUUCUU